CGGCCUCACCAAGGAAAAGAGGAAAGAAAGAAAGAACAAAACCCUAGUUAGAAAAUUCAAGAGAAAAUUGGUGGAUUUCAAGGAAUUAAGCAAGUAAAGGUAAAAUUUCUUGAUUUUAGCUUGUGAUCUACCUUUCCUAUGCAUUCUUUUUCAUUUUCCAUGGUUGAGAAUCAAGUUUGCAUGAGGAUACCUUUGCUGGCCAGACAUGGGGGGAGGAGUUUUGAUCUUGGAUUUAGCUAGAUUUCAUGUUAUUCUAGUGCUUUUAGUUGGUUGGUGAUGUGUAGCAUAAAAAGCAAACAAGAAAAAUUCAUGUUCUUACAUCACCUCAUUGGCCGAAUCUUCCUUGUGGUAUGUUGAUGGUGGAUUUGAUUUUAUUUCAAGUGAUUUGGUUAGGAAUUAAUGAUUUAUGGUGCAAAAAUCAAGUGUGAAAAACCAUAGUGUUUAUGCACCCAUCAUGGCUGAAUUUUCCAAGAGAAAAUGUUGAGGAUGAUUUUGCUAUAUAAUUCAUGUUAUCUAGCUUUGGAAGUGAUUGAUGAUUUGGAGCAUUGGAAGUGAAAUGAAUUUAUUUGGAGUCAAUUUGGAUGUUUUGGUUAAAUCAAAGGUGAAGAGUUCGAAUUAGGUCAAAAACUGAUCCAUUCCGAUCACCCUUGAACCAACGUGAAUUCCAUUUUUAAGUGACUAUCCAAACAACCUCAUGCAUUCAUAUAGAGCCUGAAAUAGAUUUAUAAUGACAUGAAAUAAUAUAUUGAAUUAUUUGUUGUGUAAUGUGUAUAGGUGGUGAGUCCUCUAACAAGGGUAAAAACAUUGUGCCAGAGGACCAAGUAUAGGAGUAUUUCGAACUCCCGAUAUUGUGAGUAACCUUAUUAUCGUCUUAAUUAUCUAAAGUAGUUUUUUUUCCUUUUUGUGAUUUGAUAGAAAAAUGAGUUUAAAUGGUAAAUCUUUAUGUUUUAUAAGCAAAAUGUGAUUAAAUGAAAUGAUUUUAUAAAAUUGUCUUGAAAUUAAAUGAUGGUUUUGAAAAUGGAGUAAUUGGAGACUACUUGCUGUGUUAUAAAUCAUGGUUUGAAUUGAAUGGCUUAUGACAAUGUGGGCAUGAGUGGUUGGAUUGGUAAUUGUGCUAAACAUAUAUGAACAGUUGUUUUGCCUUGACAUGCUGUGUUGUAAAAUAAUUGCCACGUCAUGUUGUUGGAAUUUUAUUGAUUUGGUGGGAUAUCGAUUAGCUUACUGCAGUGGGCGGGUUUCCGUGGACCAGCCUAUUAGAGAGGGGCACGGUAAACCCAGUUAUAUUUUACCUUGGUACGAGAGGUGUGGAGGGUAUCUCCUAAGGUAAAGUUUAGAGUUCACUUCACGUCGAACCACCACGUGAGAGUGAAUUCAGCAAAUGCUAAGGAACGACUAUGCUUUUAAACGUAAAAAUGUGUUUUGUGCGUAUAUGACUUUUUAAAUAGCUUUGGCGAUCUCGAUUGGAUGCCUCUGAUCAAGGUAUCCCCGAGAAUGAGUUUUGGCAUGAGCUAAGUUUUUAAGAGAUUCAUAAGCCUCGUUGUAUAUUUUGGAUGAAAUGUAACUGGUUUAGAUGAUUUGAAAUAUGUUUUGAGGUUAUGAACCAUCUUAUGAUGAUCUAUUUUAAUCGUCUCCAUUUACUCGACUUUAGAUAUUUUAGAUGAUAUUUGUUUACUCAUUGAGUUUAUAUAAACUCACCACCCUCUUUUCCACCCAUUUCAGGCUUAGAAUAGUCAGUAGACAGCUGAUUUCGUCGAGGGCUACAGUUGGAUUUGCAUCCUCAAAAACCGUAGGUUCACAGCCUU
RNAcentral lists this long non-coding RNA (1802 nucleotides) under Theobroma cacao (cacao). RNAcentral describes it as "long non-coding RNA (TCAC_LNC002414)". The record is from RNAcentral. Lineage: Eukaryota; Viridiplantae; Streptophyta; Magnoliopsida; Malvales; Malvaceae.